UAGCUACAUGUACAAUUUUAUUAGUUAAGAUGAUUCUAGCUACAAGUAUCAGAAAUUCCAAAUUAAAAACAAAUUAAAAUACAGAUUAUUUAUUCUCUCAGAAAGUAUUAAGUAUCUCCAAAUGGGGGCUCCACAUAACUGGGUAACUUGUCAGGUUUACAACUUCAGCUAAGAUUCAUUUCAACUUUUUGUUCUAUCUUCCUGUUUGUCAGACCUAUCCUCAAACUAAGUCCUCUCAUGAAAACAAAAUUUUCAGGCUUCACAGUCAUCCAGAACUCUAUCCAACAAAAGAAUUGAUGCUGGGAAAAAGAAGAAGCAUAUGAGCUGGUAAUAGGUCUCCAACAAUCCCUGGUAGUCUGGAAUAAUAAAGCAUCUUGUUAUGAGUCUUUUUGUAUGAUU
RNAcentral lists this long non-coding RNA (399 nucleotides) under Oryctolagus cuniculus (rabbit). Its description in RNAcentral is "lncRNA (ENSOCUG00000031722.1)". Lineage: Eukaryota; Metazoa; Chordata; Mammalia; Lagomorpha; Leporidae. The record is from RNAcentral.